GGUAUUGAUUGGUGCUUGCAUCAUGAUUUACAUUUGAGUGAGUGGCGAACUGGUGAGUAACACGUGGGAAACCUGCCCAGAAGCGGGGGAUAACACCUGGAAACAGAUGCUAAUACCGCAUAACAACUUGGACCGCAUGGUCCGAGUUUGAAAGAUGGCUUCGGCUAUCACUUUUGGAUGGUCCCGCGGCGUAUUAGCUAGAUGGUGGGGUAACGGCUCACCAUGGCAAUGAUACGUAGCCGACCUGAGAGGGUAAUCGGCCACAUUGGGACUGAGACACGGCCCAAACUCCUACGGGAGGCAGCAGUAGGGAAUCUUCCACAAUGGACGAAAGUCUGAUGGAGCAACGCCGCGUGAGUGAAGAAGGGUUUCGGCUCGUAAAACUCUGUUGUUAAAGAAGAACAUAUCUGAGAGUAACUGUUCAGGUAUUGACGGUAUUUAACCAGAAAGCCACGGCUAACUACGUGCCAGCAGCCGCGGUAAUACGUAGGUGGCAAGCGUUGUCCGGAUUUAUUGGGCGUAAAGCGAGCGCAGGCGGUUUUUUAAGUCUGAUGUGAAAGCCUUCGGCUCAACCGAAGAAGUGCAUCGGAAACUGGGAAACUUGAGUGCAGAAGAGGACAGUGGAACUCCAUGUGUAGCGGUGAAAUGCGUAGAUAUAUGGAAGAACACCAGUGGCGAAGGCGGCUGUCUGGUCUGUAACUGACGCUGAGGCUCGAAAGUAUGGGUAGCAAACAGGAUUAGAUACCCUGGUAGUCCAUACCGUAAACGAUGAAUGCUAAGUGUUGGAGGGUUUCCGCCCUUCAGUGCUGCAGCUAACGCAUUAAGCAUUCCGCCUGGGGAGUACGGCCGCAAGGCUGAAACUCAAAGGAAUUGACGGGGGCCCGCACAAGCGGUGGAGCAUGUGGUUUAAUUCGAAGCUACGCGAAGAACCUUACCAGGUCUUGACAUACUAUGCAAAUCUAAGAGAUUAGACGUUCCCUUCGGGGACAUGGAUACAGGUGGUGCAUGGUUGUCGUCAGCUCGUGUCGUGAGAUGUUGGGUUAAGUCCCGCAACGAGCGCAACCCUUAUUAUCAGUUGCCAGCAUUAAGUUGGGCACUCUGGUGAGACUGCCGGUGACAAACCGGAGGAAGGUGGGGAUGACGUCAAAUCAUCAUGCCCCUUAUGACCUGGGCUACACACGUGCUACAAUGGAUGGUACAACGAGUUGCGAACUCGCGAGAGUAAGCUAAUCUCUUAAAGCCAUUCUCAGUUCGGAUUGUAGGCUGCAACUCGCCUACAUGAAGUCGGAAUCGCUAGUAAUCGCGGAUCAGCAUGCCGCGGUGAAUACGUUCCCGGGCCUUGUACACACCGCCCGUCACACCAUGAGAGUUUGUAACACCCAAAGUCGGUGGGGUAACCUUUUAGGA
RNAcentral lists this ribosomal RNA (1407 nucleotides) under Lactiplantibacillus plantarum. RNAcentral describes it as "bacterial SSU rRNA". It matches the Rfam family "Bacterial small subunit ribosomal RNA". The record is from RNAcentral. Lineage: Bacteria; Bacillati; Bacillota; Bacilli; Lactobacillales; Lactobacillaceae.